This 1346-nucleotide ribosomal RNA is filed under the name uncultured bacterium. Its description in RNAcentral is "partial 16S ribosomal RNA". It matches the Rfam family "Bacterial small subunit ribosomal RNA", at positions 28 to 1381 of the family's 1533-position model. The record is from RNAcentral.
GACGAACGCUUGCGGCGUGCUUAACACAUGCAAGUCGAACGGAAAGGCCCUGCUUUUGUGGGGUGCUCGAGUGGCGAACGGGUGAGUAACACGUGAGUAACCUGCCCUUGACUUUGGGAUAACUUCAGGAAACUGGGGCUAAUACCGGAUAGGAGCUCCUGCUGCAUGGUGGGGGUUGGAAAGUUUCGGCGGUUGGGGAUGGACUCGCGGCUUAUCAGCUUGUUGGUGGGGUAGUGGCUUACCAAGGCUUUGACGGGUAGCCGGCCUGAGAGGGUGACCGGCCACAUUGGGACUGAGAUACGGCCCAGACUCCUACGGGAGGCAGCAGUGGGGAAUAUUGCACAAUGGGCGGAAGCCUGAUGCAGCAACGCCGCGUGCGGGAUGACGGCCUUCGGGUUGUAAACCGCUUUCGCCUGUGACGAAGCGUGAGUGACGGUGAUGGGUAAAGAAGCACCGGCUAACUACGUGCCAGCAGCCGCGGUGAUACGUAGGGUGCGAGCGUUGUCCGGAUUUAUUGGGCGUAAAGGGCUCGUAGGUGGUUGAUCGCGUCGGAAGUGUAAUCUUGGGGCUUAACCCUGAGCGUGCUUUCGAUACGGGUUGACUUGAGGAAGGUAGGGGAGAAUGGAAUUCCUGGUGGAGCGGUGGAAUGCGCAGAUAUCAGGAGGAACACCAGUGGCGAAGGCGGUUCUCUGGGCCUUUCCUGACGCUGAGGAACGAAAGCGUGGGGAGCGAACAGGCUUAGAUACCCUGGUAGUCCACGCUGUAAACGGUGGGUACUAGGUGUGGGGUCCAUUCCACGGGUUCCGUGCCGUAGCUAACGCUUUAAGUACCCCGCCUGGGGAGUACGGCCGCAAGGCUAAAACUCAAAGGAAUUGACGGGGCCCCGCACAAGCGGCGGAGCAUGCGGAUUAAUUCGAUGCAACGCGUAGAACCUUACCUGGGUUUGACAUGGAUCGGGAGUGCUCAGAGAUGGGUGUGCCUCUUUUGGGGUCGGUUCACAGGUGGUGCAUGCCUGUCGUCAGCUCGUGUCGUGAGAUGUUGGGUUAAGUCCCGCAACGAGCGCAACCCUUGUUCACUGUUGCCAGCACGUUAUGGUGGGGACUCAGUGGAGACCGCCGGGGUCAACUCGGAGGAAGGUGGGGAUGACGUCAAGUCAUCAUGCCCCUUAUGUCCAGGGCUUCACGCAUGCUACAAUGGCUGGUACAGAGAGUGGCGAGCCUGUGAGGGUGAGCGAAUCUCGGAAAGCCGGUCUCAGUUCGGAUUGGGGUCUGCAACUCGACCUCAUGAAGUCGGAGUCGCUAGUAAUCGCAGAUCAGCAACGCUGCGGUGAAUACGUUCCCGGGGCU